GUUUCAUAUAUUAACUAAUUUCUAACCUAUUCCUUCACCUGGUGAGUCGACAGCACAGCUCCGAGCGGCGAGCAUACAUCUCUCUGUCUUUCAUACUUCUCAGCACCACCGCUGCCUGAAACACUCCCCACCUCCUCCGUCGUUGCCGGCUCGCACGACGCUUCUGUUGAAGAAAUUAAUUUGAUACUAUCUCACUUGCUUCUUCCUUUGUUAACUCUGGCAAACUACUCAUGGUGUUUGGUCAGAGAGAUCGUAACAAGCCUUUUGUGGCUCGUCGAAAUUACCAACCCAAUGCCAAUGCCAACGCCAAUCGGAAUAACCAAACCCAUUCCUCUCCCCGGAGACAGAAGAUUAUAGAGCAGAGAAAGUCACUUCCUAUUGCUUCAGUUGAGAAGAGAUUAAUUGAAGAGGUUCAGAAGAAUGAUAUUUUGAUUGUUGUUGGUGAAACUGGAAGUGGAAAAACUACACAGAUUCCACAAUUUUUAUUUCAUGCUGGAUUUUGCCACGACGGGAAAGUUGUUGGGAUAACUCAGCCGAGACGUGUUGCUGCUAUCACUGUGGCCAAGCGUGUUGCUGAAGAAUGUGGUUGUGAGUUGGGCCAAAAGGUUGGGUACUCUGUUAGAUUUGAUGAUUCUACUUCCAACUCAACAAGGAUCAAAUAUAUGACAGAUGGGUUGCUUCUGAGGGAGGCAUUGUUGGAUCCUUAUCUUUCUAAGUAUUCUGUUAUAAUUGUCGAUGAAGCACACGAGAGAACUGUCCACACUGAUGUCUUGAUGGGCUUGCUAAAAAAUGUGCAACUUGCUCGGUCAAAUUCUAUCAAAGAUGGUCGGAACCUUAAUAAUGAGAACAAGAAUACAAAUGGUUUCAUGUUGUUGGAUAAAGAUAAUGGCCAGAAUGGAAGUUCUCUUAGAAAAGACCACCGCAAAAAGAGUUCUCCAUUGAAGUUAAUCAUCAUGUCUGCAAGUCUUGAUGCUCGCACCUUCUCUGAGUACUUUGGUGGUGCCAAAGCUGUUCACAUCCAAGGGAGACAGUUUCCUGUGGAUAUAUUUUAUACUCGUCAUCCAAAAACAGAUUAUGUAGAUGCUGCCUUGAUAACGAUUUUCCAGGUUCAUCAAGAUGAGGCUCCUGGUGAUAUACUAGUAUUUCUGACUGGGCAAGAAGAGAUUGAUGCUGUUGAAAGGCUUAUCAAGGAGCGACUUUCAAAGUUACCUCAAGAAUAUCAGAGGCUUCAAGUUGUGCCAAUAUAUGCAGCUCUUCCAUCUGAGCAGCAAAUGCGAGCCUUUGCACCGGCUCCAUCUGGGUUUCAUAAGGUGAUAUUGGCAACUAAUAUUGCCGAGACAUCAAUUACGAUUCCUGGAAUCAAGUAUGUAAUUGAUCCUGGACUUGUAAAAGCGCGUUCCUAUGAUCCUGGAAAAGGCAUGGAAUCUUUAAUUGUAGUACCUACAUCCAAGUCUCAGGCAUUGCAAAGAAGUGGGCGUGCAGGGCGUGAAGGACCUGGAAAAUGCUUUCGGCUAUAUCCAGAAAAUGAAUUUGAGAAACUUGAGGAUUCAACAAUGCCGGAAAUUAAGCGUUGCAACCUUUCUAAUGUCAUUUUGCAGCUUAAGGCUUUGGGUGUUGACGACAUAUUAGGGUUCGAUUUCAUUGAGAAACCUUCAAGGACAGCUAUAGUAAAAUCAUUGGAGCAGCUAUUUUUGUUAGGUGCUUUGACAGAUGACUGUCAACUAUCUGAUCCAGUUGGACGUCAAAUGGCCCGACUUCCCUUGGACCCAGUUUAUGCCAAAGCUCUUAUUUUAGCAAGUCAGUUUAACUGCUUGGAAGAGAUGUUGAUAGCUGUUGCAAUGCUUUCUGCGGAAUCCAUAUUUUAUUUUCCGCGCGACAAGUAUGAAGAGGCAAGAACUGCAGCUAAGAGCUUUGCAAGUCCAGAGGGAGACCACAUCACUCUGAUUAAUGUGUUUAGAGCAGCUACUGAUUUAUUGGAGAAGAGAACUAUCGAAAUUAAUAAAAUGAAAAAUGAAAAGGAUUUUAGAAAAUGGUGCAAAGAAAAUUUUAUCAAUAGCCGUUCUCUUAGACAUGCUCGUGACAUUCACAGGCAGAUUCAAGGACAUGUUCAACAAAUGGGUCUGAAACUUGCUUCUUGUGGAGAAGAUAUGCUUCAAUUUCGCAGAUGCCUUGUUGCUUCCUUUUUCCUCAAUGCAGCUGUGAAGCAGCCAGAUGGAACCUACAGGGCUUUGGCAAGUGGUCAGGUGGUGCAGAUCCAUCCUUCGUCUGUAUUGUUCAGGAAGAAACCAGAGUGCAUAAUAUUUAAUGAACUGAUUCAAACUAAUAACAAGUAUGUCCGUGAUUUAACCAGAGUUGACAACCUAUGGUUAACUGAACUGGCUCCUCAGUUUUAUGCUAUGCAGAAUUAAGUUCUUGAUGGGGCUUUACACAGAUAUGCCUCAGAGGAAUACGUCUCAGAGACCGCCUGAGCCGCCUUAGGAUAGGAGUGACAGACUUAAGGGCAGGGAGGCCUGCCCCUACCGGUAGUGCACGAAGGGAGAAACAAGCAUUACGCCCUCCUAUGGCUGGUCGAGGGAGAGGUGGAGGAACGAGACUUGCUAGAGUUGAUGCUGCAGGGGGGUCAACGUCACAGACGGGUCCAUCCCAGGCAGUGAACCCGACACAGUAUCAGCAGGAUUAUCAGGUGUAUGAGCAGGCGCAGGAUCAGACCUAUCAUUUUCAGGAGCCUUAGCCUCAAUUGUAUCAGUUUGAUGCCUUUCAGCAGCAUCAAUAUGAGGAUCAUCAUGAGCAGCCUGGUAUUGAGGAGCCUCAACAGCAGGAUGAUAUUGAGCAGCCUCAGCAACAUGAUGGUGGGGAUCGUUUUCAGAGGUGACGCUUUUACCUCACUUUGGUGGACAUGUGGCAUGCAGGGUCUGGGUCGAUGCCGAUUUUCGAAGAAAACAUAGGGUGAAAGGUAUCUUGCACGAGAAGAAACUGAGCCUUAAAAACUUGACAUUGCCUAUGCCGGGGGAACAAAACGAGUGAUUUUGGUUAGAAGUGAAUAUGUCUGGUCUUACUCCCCUCCUGACUAGUGGGUACGAGAACAUCUCUCACGGGUUUGUUUGUGCGAUGACCAUAGAUGGUGUGGGGAGAUGACCAUCCCACUAGAUGGUGUGGCGUGUCUCCUGGGCUUCCCCAUCACUGGGAGGCUCCUUCCCGAUAGAGAGUUUACCCGUGAGGAGGGGCUAGAGAUGAUGCAGAUGGACCUACUGUUUACAGAGGAGGCUGCCGCUAAGGAGAUGACAAAACAGGGUGCUGCUCACGUCAGUUUUGGUGUACUGAAGAGGUGCUACGAGGAACUCUUGAAUAGGUGUAACCAGCUGCUUGUGAAUGACACAUAGAAGGAGCAAGACGAGCGAGCUGAAGUUAGGCUGGCCUGUAUUAAGGCAUUUCUGUUACUCUUGCUUGGCUGGACCAUUUUUUCCGGGAAGAACAGCAAAAACAUUAAUCAUCUUUGGCUGAUUGCUAUGCAAGAUAUGGACGAGUUGGACAGCUGGUCAUGGGGUGGGAUGGGACUUGCUUUCCUAUAUGAGCAUCUAUCUCUUACCUCCGACUCAUCUGUGGCCUCCUAUGGUGGUUCCAUGACAUUGCUUGUGGGAUGGACUUUGGCGCACUUCUCGAACAUUAUUCCGAGGAUUGAUGAUGAUGCCUACGACCCUGCUGUUUCCCCACUUGUGAGUGAAUGGAAACCUUCAAGGGGCUUUUCUAAUCCUGGACACUACAGAGCUGUCAUCGAUUCGUUGGACCAUUCACAUGUCACCUGGAGGCCGUACGAGAGACGACGACAUCACGCCCUUUCAGGACAUAUGCUAGUACUCCGGAUGGAUCAUGGCCGGCAGCGACAGGAUGGUCCGUAACUUGCCAGAGCCGGUUCUUAGGCAGUAUGGGUAUGUCGACUAUUCUCAGGGCUUCUACAGACAUUGAGCUUAUUGCGGCGAAUGAUGUGGCUCAGGCCUUCAUGGAGUUUGCUCUACAUGUCCUCAGCCAUCAGGAUAGGGGUCAUCCGGUUCCGGAUAACCAGCCGUGGGCUCAUACUAGGGGGUACAUGAGAUGAUUCAUUAGAGUAUCACAUCCUAUUGUGAACCCCCCUGCGGCCAUUCCUGACUAUGCAGCUGCUGCCCCUCCUCGUCCUGUCCCUCCUUAUGAGGAGGUUAUUGUUAAGUAGCAGUGGGUCAGACAUCCUCCAGACCCAUACCAGAUCAUCAACAAUAUCAGAGCCAGAGUGGAUGGUGCAAUGGGACAUCCUGCUGUGUUUCAUAAUCCAGAGGAGAUUAUGCGCUUGAUGCAGGGCAUACAGUCUGAGUGGAGCAUGCUGGUGCAGGCUCUGCGGAGGAGGAGUAGGAGUCCACGGGAUGGACAGUAUGACUUGUGUAGCUUUUAUGACUUGUGUAGUUUUUUUUGUAUGACAUUUUGUUGGAUUUGGUUGUAAUCCUAUAACACUUGCGCUUUUUAGCGUUUUUAUGACAUUAUUCGUUAUUUUAUUCCGUGUUUUA
Medicago truncatula (barrel medic) is the source of this 4532-nucleotide RNA transcript. It is a transcript of the gene named pre-mRNA-splicing factor ATP-dependent RNA helicase DEAH10, with no coding region annotated. Lineage: Eukaryota; Viridiplantae; Streptophyta; Magnoliopsida; Fabales; Fabaceae. The transcript is spliced from 16 exons. The record is from RefSeq and is a predicted model, not a curated record.